RNAcentral lists this ribosomal RNA (2903 nucleotides) under Escherichia coli. Its description in RNAcentral is "23S ribosomal RNA". It matches the Rfam family "Bacterial large subunit ribosomal RNA". The record is from RNAcentral. Lineage: Bacteria; Pseudomonadati; Pseudomonadota; Gammaproteobacteria; Enterobacterales; Enterobacteriaceae.
GGUUAAGCGACUAAGCGUACACGGUGGAUGCCCUGGCAGUCAGAGGCGAUGAAGGACGUGCUAAUCUGCGAUAAGCGUCGGUAAGGUGAUAUGAACCGUUAUAACCGGCGAUUUCCGAAUGGGGAAACCCAGUGUGAUUCGUCACACUAUCAUUAACUGAAUCCAUAGGUUAAUGAGGCGAACCGGGGGAACUGAAACAUCUAAGUACCCCGAGGAAAAGAAAUCAACCGAGAUUCCCCCAGUAGCGGCGAGCGAACGGGGAGCAGCCCAGAGCCUGAAUCAGUGUGUGUGUUAGUGGAAGCGUCUGGAAAGGCGUGCGAUACAGGGUGACAGCCCCGUACACAAAAAUGCACAUGCUGUGAGCUCGAUGAGUAGGGCGGGACACGUGGUAUCCUGUCUGAAUAUGGGGGGACCAUCCUCCAAGGCUAAAUACUCCUGACUGACCGAUAGUGAACCAGUACCGUGAGGGAAAGGCGAAAAGAACCCCGGCGAGGGGAGUGAAAAAGAACCUGAAACCGUGUACGUACAAGCAGUGGGAGCACGCUUAGGCGUGUGACUGCGUACCUUUUGUAUAAUGGGUCAGCGACUUAUAUUCUGUAGCAAGGUUAACCGAAUAGGGGAGCCGAAGGGAAACCGAGUCUUAACUGGGCGUUAAGUUGCAGGGUAUAGACCCGAAACCCGGUGAUCUAGCCAUGGGCAGGUUGAAGGUUGGGUAACACUAACUGGAGGACCGAACCGACUAAUGUUGAAAAAUUAGCGGAUGACUUGUGGCUGGGGGUGAAAGGCCAAUCAAACCGGGAGAUAGCUGGUUCUCCCCGAAAGCUAUUUAGGUAGCGCCUCGUGAAUUCAUCUCCGGGGGUAGAGCACUGUUUCGGCAAGGGGGUCAUCCCGACUUACCAACCCGAUGCAAACUGCGAAUACCGGAGAAUGUUAUCACGGGAGACACACGGCGGGUGCUAACGUCCGUCGUGAAGAGGGAAACAACCCAGACCGCCAGCUAAGGUCCCAAAGUCAUGGUUAAGUGGGAAACGAUGUGGGAAGGCCCAGACAGCCAGGAUGUUGGCUUAGAAGCAGCCAUCAUUUAAAGAAAGCGUAAUAGCUCACUGGUCGAGUCGGCCUGCGCGGAAGAUGUAACGGGGCUAAACCAUGCACCGAAGCUGCGGCAGCGACACUAUGUGUUGUUGGGUAGGGGAGCGUUCUGUAAGCCUGCGAAGGUGUGCUGUGAGGCAUGCUGGAGGUAUCAGAAGUGCGAAUGCUGACAUAAGUAACGAUAAAGCGGGUGAAAAGCCCGCUCGCCGGAAGACCAAGGGUUCCUGUCCAACGUUAAUCGGGGCAGGGUGAGUCGACCCCUAAGGCGAGGCCGAAAGGCGUAGUCGAUGGGAAACAGGUUAAUAUUCCUGUACUUGGUGUUACUGCGAAGGGGGGACGGAGAAGGCUAUGUUGGCCGGGCGACGGUUGUCCCGGUUUAAGCGUGUAGGCUGGUUUUCCAGGCAAAUCCGGAAAAUCAAGGCUGAGGCGUGAUGACGAGGCACUACGGUGCUGAAGCAACAAAUGCCCUGCUUCCAGGAAAAGCCUCUAAGCAUCAGGUAACAUCAAAUCGUACCCCAAACCGACACAGGUGGUCAGGUAGAGAAUACCAAGGCGCUUGAGAGAACUCGGGUGAAGGAACUAGGCAAAAUGGUGCCGUAACUUCGGGAGAAGGCACGCUGAUAUGUAGGUGAAGCGACUUGCUCGUGGAGCUGAAAUCAGUCGAAGAUACCAGCUGGCUGCAACUGUUUAUUAAAAACACAGCACUGUGCAAACACGAAAGUGGACGUAUACGGUGUGACGCCUGCCCGGUGCCGGAAGGUUAAUUGAUGGGGUCAGCGCAAGCGAAGCUCUUGAUCGAAGCCCCGGUAAACGGCGGCCGUAACUAUAACGGUCCUAAGGUAGCGAAAUUCCUUGUCGGGUAAGUUCCGACCUGCACGAAUGGCGUAAUGAUGGCCAGGCUGUCUCCACCCGAGACUCAGUGAAAUUGAACUCGCUGUGAAGAUGCAGUGUACCCGCGGCAAGACGGAAAGACCCCGUGAACCUUUACUAUAGCUUGACACUGAACAUUGAGCCUUGAUGUGUAGGAUAGGUGGGAGGCUUUGAAGUGUGGACGCCAGUCUGCAUGGAGCCGACCUUGAAAUACCACCCUUUAAUGUUUGAUGUUCUAACGUUGACCCGUGAUCCGGGUUGCGGACAGUGUCUGGUGGGUAGUUUGACUGGGGCGGUCUCCUCCUAAAGAGUAACGGAGGAGCACGAAGGUUGGCUAAUCCUGGUCGGACAUCAGGAGGUUAGUGCAAUGGCAUAAGCCAGCUUGACUGCGAGCGUGACGGCGCGAGCAGGUGCGAAAGCAGGUCAUAGUGAUCCGGUGGUUCUGAAUGGAAGGGCCAUCGCUCAACGGAUAAAAGGUACUCCGGGGAUAACAGGCUGAUACCGCCCAAGAGUUCAUAUCGACGGCGGUGUUUGGCACCUCGAUGUCGGCUCAUCACAUCCUGGGGCUGAAGUAGGUCCCAAGGGUAUGGCUGUUCGCCAUUUAAAGUGGUACGCGAGCUGGGUUUAGAACGUCGUGAGACAGUUCGGUCCCUAUCUGCCGUGGGCGCUGGAGAACUGAGGGGGGCUGCUCCUAGUACGAGAGGACCGGAGUGGACGCAUCACUGGUGUUCGGGUUGUCAUGCCAAUGGCACUGCCCGGUAGCUAAAUGCGGAAGAGAUAAGUGCUGAAAGCAUCUAAGCACGAAACUUGCCCCGAGAUGAGUUCUCCCUGACUCCUUGAGAGUCCUGAAGGAACGUUGAAGACGACGACGUUGAUAGGCCGGGUGUGUAAGCGCAGCGAUGCGUUGAGCUAACCGGUACUAAUGAACCGUGAGGCUUAACCUU